RNAcentral lists this small RNA (17 nucleotides) under Arabidopsis thaliana (thale cress). Its description in RNAcentral is "ATSL289820". The record is from RNAcentral. Lineage: Eukaryota; Viridiplantae; Streptophyta; Magnoliopsida; Brassicales; Brassicaceae.
UAACAAAAAAGAUGGGA